Molecule: ribosomal RNA, 827 nt
Filed under: uncultured archaeon
Lineage: Archaea
Description: bacterial SSU rRNA
Rfam family: Archaeal small subunit ribosomal RNA
Source: RNAcentral
AGCACUGCUUAUUGGAUCCGACUAAGCCAUGCGAGUCGAGAGGGUUCGGCCCUCGCAGACUGCUCAGUAACACGUGGAUAACCUAACCUUAGGUGGAAGAUAACUCGGGAAACUGAGAAUAAUAUCCAUAGAUCUAGGAUGCUGGAAUGCAUCUAGAUUGAAAGUCCGACGCCUAAAGAUGGGUCUGCGGACUAUCAGGUUGUAGUCAGGGUAAAGACCUGACUAGCCUACGACGGAUAUGGGUUGUGAGAGCAAUAGCCCAGAGACGAUAUCUGAGACACGAUAUCGGGCCCUACGGGGCGCAGCAGGCGCGAAAUCUUCACAAUGUGCGAAAGCACGAUGAGGGGAUCCCAAGUGCUGGCACGUAAGUGUCAGCUGUUUCUUAGUCUAAAAAACUGAGAGAGUAAGGGCUGGGUAAGACGGGUGCCAGCCGCCGCGGUAAUACCUGCAGCUCAAGUGGUGGCCGCUAUUAUUGGGCCUAAAACGUCCGUAGCCUGUUUAGUAAAUGCUUGGGUAAAUUGUGUAGCUUAACUAUACGAAUACCGGGUAGACUGCUAAACUUGGGACCGGGAGAGGCUAGAGGUACUCCUAGGGUAGAGGUGAAAUUCUGUAAUCCUAGGGGGACCACCAGUGGCGAAGGCGUCUAGCUAGAACGGGUCUGACGGUGAGGGACGAAGCCCUGGGGCGCGAACCGGAUUAGAUACCCGGGUAGUCCAGGGUGUAAACGCUGCUUGCUUGAUGUUAGUUGGGCUCCGAGCCCAACUAGUGUCGGAGAGAAGUUGUUAAGCAAGCUGCCUGGGAAGUACGGUCGCAAGACUGAAACUUAA